GGUUCAAUGGUGUAAGGGUUAGCUCUCUGGACUCUGAAUCCAGUGAUCCGAGUUCAAUUUCGGUAGGUCCU
RNAcentral lists this transfer RNA (71 nucleotides) under Danionella translucida. It matches the Rfam family "tRNA". From Rfam's summary of the family: Transfer RNA (tRNA) molecules are approximately 80 nucleotides in length. Lineage: Eukaryota; Metazoa; Chordata; Actinopteri; Cypriniformes; Danionidae. The record is from Rfam by way of RNAcentral. RNAcentral also lists the same sequence under 1 other name.